UACAGAGGGUGCAAGCGUUAAUCGGAAUUACUGGGCGUAAAGCGCACGUAGGCGGUUUUUUAAGCAGAUGUGAAAGCCCCGGGCGUCAACCUGGGAAUUGCAUUUGUAAACUGGAAAACUAAGAGUGUGUGAGAGGGGGGUAGAAUUCCAAGUGUAGCGGUGAAAUGCGUAGAUAUGCGGAGGAACACCAAUGGCGAAGGCAAUCCCCUGGGCCUGCACUGACGCUCAUGCACGGAAGCGUGGGGAGCAAACAGGAUUAGAAACCCGUGUAGU
RNAcentral lists this ribosomal RNA (273 nucleotides) under uncultured bacterium. RNAcentral's name for it is "partial 16S ribosomal RNA". It matches the Rfam family "Bacterial small subunit ribosomal RNA", at positions 524 to 794 of the family's 1533-position model. The record is from RNAcentral.